AGUGAACGCUGGCGGUAGGCCUAACACAUGCAAGUCGAACGGCAGCACAGUAAGAGCUUGCUCUUACGGGUGGCGAGUGGCGGACGGGUGAGGAAUACAUCGGAAUCUACUUUUUCGUGGGGGAUAACGUAGGGAAACUUACGCUAAUACCGCAUACGCCCUACGGGUGAAAGCAGGGGAUCUUCGGACCUUGCGCGAAUGAAUGAGCCGAUGUCGGAUUAGCUAGUUGGCGGGGUAAAGGCCCACCAAGGCGACGAUCCGUAGCUGGUCUGAGAGGAUGAUCAGCCACACUGGAACUUAGACACGGUCCAGACUCCUACGGGAGGCAGCAGUGGGGAAUAUUGGACAAUGGGCGCAAGCCUUAUCCAGCCAUACCGCGUGGGUGAAGAAGGCCUUCGGGUUGGAAAGCCCUUUUGUUGGGAAAGAAAAGCAGCAGGUUAAUACCCCGCUGUUCUGACGGUACCCAAAGAAUAAGCACCGGCUAACUUCGUG
Molecule: ribosomal RNA, 492 nt
Filed under: uncultured bacterium
Lineage: Bacteria
Description: partial 16S ribosomal RNA
Rfam family: Bacterial small subunit ribosomal RNA
Source: RNAcentral